This 185-nucleotide ribosomal RNA is filed under the name Staphylococcus warneri. RNAcentral describes it as "partial 16S ribosomal RNA". It matches the Rfam family "Bacterial small subunit ribosomal RNA", at positions 1351 to 1533 of the family's 1533-position model. Lineage: Bacteria; Bacillati; Bacillota; Bacilli; Caryophanales; Staphylococcaceae. The record is from RNAcentral.
AGCAUGCUACGGUGAAUACGUUCCCGGGUCUUGUACACACCGCCCGUCACACCACGAGAGUUUGUAACACCCGAAGCCGGUGGAGUAACCAUUUAUGGAGCUAGCCGUCGAAGGUGGGACAAAUGAUUGGGGUGAAGUCGUAACAAGGUAGCCGUAUCGGAAGGUGCGGCUGGAUCACCUCCUUU